RNAcentral lists this ribosomal RNA (415 nucleotides) under uncultured bacterium. Its description in RNAcentral is "bacterial SSU rRNA". It matches the Rfam family "Bacterial small subunit ribosomal RNA", at positions 361 to 773 of the family's 1533-position model. The record is from RNAcentral.
AUAUAGGUCAAUGGACGCAAGUCUGAACCAGCCAUGCCGCGUGCAGGAUGACGGCCCUAUGGGUUGUAAACUGCUUUUGUACGGGAAAAAACCCUUCUACGUGUAGAAGGCUGAUGGUACCGUAAGAAUAAGGAUCGGCUAACUCCGUGCCAGCAGCCGCGGUAAUACGGAGGAUCCAAGCGUUAUCCGGAUUUAUUGGGUUUAAAGGGUGCGUAGGCGGAAUAGUAAGUCAGUGGUGAAAACCUGCAGCUUAACUGCAGAACUGCCAUUGAUACUGCUAAUCUUGAGUACAUUUGAUGUGGGCGGAAUGUGUCAUGUAGCGGUGAAAUGCAUAGAUAUGACACAGAACACCGAUUGCGAAGGCAGCUCACAAAACUGUUACUGACGCUGAGGCACGAAAGCGUGGGGAUCGAAC